AUGGGAGCAGGUGGCGGUUGGGUGCCACCACCUCUGGGUGUCACCUCACAGGGGACCCUGGAGGGGCCAUGGGGACACCAGAGGGACCCCAUGGGGACAGGGGACACUGUGGGGACCCCGAGGGGACACUAUGGGGACACCAGCGGGACCCAGAGGGGAUGUGGCAGGGCCACCAUCCCCCCCGUGAGGAAGGGGGGGACCCUGGAGGGGCCAUGGGGACCCCAAAGGGACACAGGGGCCACCAGAGGGACCAUGGGGCCACCAGAGGGGACAGGGACAUUAGGCCAUGGGGACACCAGAAGGACCUCAUGGGGACAGGAGAUGCUGUGGGGACCCAGAGGGGCCAUGGGGACACCAGAAGGACCCCAUGGGGACAGGGCACCUCGUGGGGACACCAGAAGGGACAAGGGCUUCCCAAGAGCAACACAGGGACAUGGCAGGGGCCACCCUCUUCCCCAUGGGGACAGGGGACCUUGGAAAGGGCCAUGGGGACACCAGAGGGGACAGGUACAUUGGACAGGCCAUGGGGACACCGGAAGGACCCCACGGGGACAGGGGACACUGUGGGGACCCAGAGGGGCCAUGGGGACACUGGAAGGACCUUGGGGACACCAGAAGGACCCCAUGGGGACAGGGGACACUGUGGGGACACUGGAGGGGAUGAGGGCCUUGGGGACACCAGAAAGACCCCAUAGGGACACCAGGGGGGACAUGUCAAGGCCACCCUACCCCAUGAGGGUCCUAGAAGGGCCAUGGGGACACCAGAGGGGACAAGGACCUUGGAAGAGCCGUGGGGACACCAGAAGGACCCCACGGGGACAGGGGACACCGCGGGGCCACCGGAGGGGAUGGGGACCUUGGAAGGGCCGUGGGGACACCAGAGGGGACAUGUCAAGGCCACCCUCCCCCCUAGGAGCCCCCACGGGGACGUCGGAGGGACGCGCGCGGGGACAGGAGGACGCAGAGGGGACAGGCGGUGGCUUUCCAUCCCGGGUUUAUUCCUCGCCCGGGGGCGGCGGCUUUUCAAUAUGA
RNAcentral lists this long non-coding RNA (1032 nucleotides) under Apteryx rowi (Okarito brown kiwi). Its description in RNAcentral is "lncRNA (ENSARWG00000000460.1)". The record is from RNAcentral. Lineage: Eukaryota; Metazoa; Chordata; Aves; Apterygiformes; Apterygidae.